Molecule: ribosomal RNA, 595 nt
Filed under: uncultured bacterium
Lineage: Bacteria
Description: bacterial SSU rRNA
Rfam family: Bacterial small subunit ribosomal RNA
Source: RNAcentral
AUUCCUACGGGAGGCAGCAGUCGAGAAUCUUCCGCAACGCGCGAAAGCGUGACGGAGCGACGCCGCGUGGGUGAUGAAGGCCUUCGGGUUGUAAAGCCCUGUCAGCUACUAAGAACCGCGGGUGGUGAACAGCCAUCCCGUCUGACAAAGGUAGCAGAGGAAGCACCGGCUAACUACGUGCCAGCAGCCGCGGUAAUACGUAGGGUGCAAACGUUGUUCGGAAUCACUGGGCAUAAAGAGCGCGUAGGCGGUCUUGCAAGUCCUGUGUGAAAGCCCUCGGCUCAACCGAGGAAUUGCACAGGAUACUGCUUGGCUAGAGUACAGGAGGGGAGAGCGGAAUUCCUGGUGGAGCGGUGAAAUGCGUAGAUGUCAGGAGGAACGCCGGUGGCGAAAGCGGCUCUCUGGUCUGUCACUGACGCUGAGGCGCGAAAGCUAGGGGAGCAAACGGGAUUAGAUACCCCGGUAGUCCUAGCCCUAAACGAUGGGUACUAAGUAGAGGAAACUCCGAUGUUUUCUCUGCCGGAGCUAAUGUAUUAAGUACCCCGCCUGGGGAGUAUGGUCGCAAGGCUAAAACUCAAAGGAAUUGACGGAAUCU